This 724-nucleotide ribosomal RNA is filed under the name uncultured soil bacterium. Its description in RNAcentral is "bacterial SSU rRNA". It matches the Rfam family "Bacterial small subunit ribosomal RNA", at positions 32 to 759 of the family's 1533-position model. The record is from RNAcentral.
AACGCUGGCGGCGUGCCUAACACAUGCAAGUCGAACGGAUUUGAGGGGCUUGCUCCUCAAGUUAGUGGCGCACGGGUGAGUAACGCGUAGAUAAUCUGCCUGAUGAUUCGGGAUAACACUUCGAAAGGGGUGCUAAUACCGGAUAAGCCCACGGAGUCUUUGGACUUUGCGGGAAAAGGGGGGGACCUUCGGGCCUUCUGUCAUCAGAUGAGUCUGCGUACCAUUAGCUAGUUGGUAGGGUAAUGGCCUACCAAGGCUACGAUGGUUAGCUGGUUUGAGAGAAUGAUCAGCCACACUGGGACUGAGACACGGCCCAGACUCCUACGGGAGGCAGCAGUGGGGAAUAUUGGACAAUGGGCGAAAGCCUGAUCCAGCAAUGCCGCGUGAGUGAUGAAGGCCUUAGGGUUGUAAAGCUCUUUUGCCAGGGAUGAUAAUGACAGUACCUGGAGAAUAAGCUCCGGCUAACUCCGUGCCAGCAGCCGCGGUAAUACAGAGGGAGCUAGCGUUGUUCGGAAUUACUGGGCGUAAAGCGCGCGUAGGCGGCUUUGUAAGUUAGAGGUGAAAGCCCGGGGCUCAACCCCGGAACUGCCUUUAAGACUGCAUCGCUUGAAUCCGGGAGAGGUGAGUGGAAUUCCGAGUGUAGAGGUGAAAUUCGUAGAUAUUCGGAAGAACACCAGUGGCGAAGGCGGCUCACUGGACCGGCAUUGACGCUGAGGUGCGAAAG